This 488-nucleotide ribosomal RNA is filed under the name Pichia kudriavzevii. RNAcentral's name for it is "eukaryotic LSU rRNA". The stretch from base 91 to 243 matches the Rfam family "5.8S ribosomal RNA". The record is from RNAcentral. Lineage: Eukaryota; Fungi; Ascomycota; Pichiomycetes; Pichiales; Pichiaceae.
CUACACUGCGUGAGCGGACGAAAACAACAACACCUAAAAUGUGGAAUAUAGCAUAUAGUCGACAAGAGAAAUCUACGAAAAAACAAACAAAACUUUCAACAACGGAUCUCUUGGUUCUCGCAUCGAUGAAGAGCGCAGCGAAAUGCGAUACCUAGUGUGAAUUGCAGCCAUCGUGAAUCAUCGAGUUCUUGAACGCACAUUGCGCCCCUCGGCAUUCCGGGGGGCAUGCCUGUUUGAGCGUCGUUUCCAUCUUGCGCGUGCGCAGAGUUGGGGGAGCGGAGCGGACGACGUGUAAAGAGCGUCGGAGCUGCGACUCGCCUGAAAGGGAGCGAAGCUGGCCGAGCGAACUAGACUUUUUUUCAGGGACGCUUGGCGGCCGAGAGCGAGUGUUGCGAGACAACAAAAAGCUCGACCUCAAAUCAGGUAGGAAUACCCGCUGAACUUAAGCAUAUCAAUAAGCGGAGGAAAAGGAUCAUUACUGUGAUUUA